AAGACCUUGCGCUUUUGGAGCGGCCGAUGUCUGAUUAGCUUGCUGGUGAGGUAAAGGCUUACCAAGGCUUCGAUCAGUAGCUGGUCUGAGAGGACGGCCAGCCACACUGGGACUGAGACACGGCCCAGACUCCUACGGGAGGCAGCAGUGGGGAAUUUUGGACAAUGGGGGCAACCCUGAUCCAGCCAUGCCGCGUGAGUGAAGAAGGCCUUCGGGUUGUAAAGCUCUUUCAGCCGGAACGAAACGGUUACGAUUAAUACCCGUAACUACUGACGGUACCGGAAGAAGAAGCACCGGCUAACUACGUGCCGGCAGCCGCGGUAAUACGUAGGGUGCGAGCGUUAAUCGGAAUUACUGGGCGUAAAGCGUGCGCAGGUGGUUUUGUAAGUCAGAUGUGAAAUCCCCGGGCUUAACCUGGGAACU
Molecule: ribosomal RNA, 423 nt
Filed under: uncultured bacterium
Lineage: Bacteria
Description: bacterial SSU rRNA
Rfam family: Bacterial small subunit ribosomal RNA
Source: RNAcentral